CCUACGGGGGGCUGCAGUGGGGAAUAUUGGACAAUGGGGGGAACCCUGAUCCAGCCAUGCCGCGUGUGUGAAGAAGGCCCUCGGGUUGUAAAGCACUUUCAGUGAGGAAGAACGCCUGGUGGUUAAUACCCAUCAGGAAAGACAUCACUCACAGAAGAAGCACCGGCUAACUACGUGCCAGCAGCCGCGGUAAUACGGAGGGUGCGAGCGUUAAUCGGAAUUACUGGGCGUAAAGCGCGCGUAGGUGGCUUGAUAAGCCGGUUGUGAAAGCCCCGGGCUCAACCUGGGAACGGCAUCCGGAACUGUCAAGCUAGAGUGCAGGAGAGGAAGGUAGAAUUCCCGGUGUAGCGGUGAAAUGCGUAGAGAUCGGGAGGAAUACCAGUGGCGAAGGCGGCCUUCUGGACUGACACUGACACUGAGGUGCGAAAGCGUGGGUAGCAAACAGGAUUAGAUACCCCUGUAGUC
Molecule: ribosomal RNA, 465 nt
Filed under: Vreelandella stevensii
Lineage: Bacteria; Pseudomonadati; Pseudomonadota; Gammaproteobacteria; Oceanospirillales; Halomonadaceae
Description: partial 16S ribosomal RNA
Rfam family: Bacterial small subunit ribosomal RNA
Source: RNAcentral